This 283-nucleotide ribosomal RNA is filed under the name uncultured bacterium. RNAcentral describes it as "partial 16S ribosomal RNA". It matches the Rfam family "Bacterial small subunit ribosomal RNA", at positions 334 to 614 of the family's 1533-position model. The record is from RNAcentral.
CGCUCCUACGGGGGGCAGCAGUGAGGAAUAUUGGUCAAUGGCCGAGAGGCUGAACCAGCCAAGCCGCGUGAGGGAAGACGGCCCUAUGGGUUGUAAACCUCUUUUGUCGGAGAACAAAACCCGGGACGUGUCCCGGACUGCGUGUAUCCGAAGAAAAAGCAUCGGCUAACUCCGUGCCAGCAGCCGCGGUAAUACGGAGGAUGCGAGCGUUAUCCGGAUUUAUUGGGUUUAAAGGGUGCGCAGGCGGGAGAUCAAGUCAGCGGUAAAAUGUCGGGGCUCAACC